UCCGAUAUGGUGUAGUGGCCAACAUGAUGCCCUCUCAAUUACUUGACAGGUUAGGCAUAGCCCCGAGUUCGAUUCUCGGUUUCGGAA
This is a transfer RNA of 87 nucleotides. It matches the Rfam family "tRNA". From Rfam's summary of the family: Transfer RNA (tRNA) molecules are approximately 80 nucleotides in length. Their secondary structure includes four short double-helical elements and three loops (D, anti-codon, and T loops). Further hydrogen bonds mediate the characteristic L-shaped molecular structure. tRNAs have two regions of fundamental functional importance: the anti-codon, which is responsible for specific mRNA codon recognition, and the 3' end, to which the tRNAs corresponding amino acid is attached (by aminoacyl-tRNA synthetases). tRNAs cope with the degeneracy of the genetic code in two manners: having more than one tRNA (with a specific anti-codon) for a particular amino acid; and 'wobble' base-pairing, i.e. permitting non-standard base-pairing at the 3rd anti-codon position. The record is from Rfam.